UGCUCAGGACGAACGCUGGCGGCGUGCCUAAUACAUGCAGUCGAGCGGACAGAUGGGAGCUUGCUCCCUGAUGUUAGCGGCGGACGGGUGAGUAACACGUGGGUAACCUGCCUGUAAGACUGGGAUAACUCCGGGAAACCGGGGCUAAUACCGGAUGGUUGUUUGAACCGCAUGGUUCAAACAUAAAAGGUGGCUUCGGCUACCACUUACAGAUGGACCCGCGGCGCAUUAGCUAGUUGGUGAGGUAAUGGCUCACCAAGGCAACGAUGCGUAGCCGACCUGAGAGGGUGAUCGGCCACACUGGGACUGAGACACGGCCCAGACUCCUACGGGAGGCAGCAGUAGGGAAUCUUCCGCAAUGGACGAAAGUCUGACGGAGCAACGCCGCGUGAGUGAUGAAGGUUUUCGGAUCGUAAAGCUCUGUUGUUAGGGAAGAACAAGUACCGUUCGAAUAGGGCGGUACCUUGACGGUACCUAACCAGAAAGCCACGGCUAACUACGUGCCAGCAGCCGCGGUAAUACGUAGGUGGCAAGCGUUGUCCGGAAUUAUUGGGCGUAAAGGGCUCGCAGGCGGUUUCUUAAGUCUGAUGUGAAAGCCCCCGGCUCAACCGGGGAGGGUCAUUGGAAACUGGGGAACUUGAGUGCAGAAGAGGAGAGUGGAAUUCCACGUGUAGCGGUGAAAUGCGUAGAGAUGUGGAGGAACACCAGUGGCGAAGGCGACUCUCUGGUCUGUAACUGACGCUGAGGAGCGAAAGCGUGGGGAGCGAACAGGAUUAGAUACCCUGGUAGUCCACGCCGUAAACGAUGAGUGCUAAGUGUUAGGGGGUUUCCGCCCCUUAGUGCUGCAGCUAACGCAUUAAGCACUCCGCCUGGGGAGUGCGGCCGGAAGUUUUAAAUCUAAAAAGAAUUGGGGGGGGCCCCCCACAAGGGGGGGCGCAUGUGGUUUUAUUAGGAGCAACGAGAAGAACCUCCCCGGGUUUUGAUCUCUUGUGAAACCCCGAGAGAGAGGGUUUCCCCUUUGGGGGCAAAAUAACAGGGGGUGCAUGGUUGUUUUCACCUCGUGUCGGGAGAUGUGGGGAAAAAUCCCCCAAAGAGCGCACCCCUUUUUUUUUGUUCCCAGCAUUCAGUUGGGCAUUUUAAGGGGACCCCCGGUGAAAAACCGGGGGAGGGGGGGGAGGAGGUCAAAUCUUCAUCCCCCUUAUGACGGGGGGUACACACGUGUUACAAUGGGCAAAACAAAGGGCAGAGAAGCCGGGGGGAUAAGCCAAUCCCACAAAUCUGUUCUCAUUUGGGAUCGCGGUGUGCAACUCGAGUGCGCGAAGGGGGAAUCUCUAGUAAUCGCGGAUCCCCACCCCGCGGAGAAUAUUUUCCCGGGCCUUGUACACCCCCCCCCUCCCCCCCCGAGAGUUUGUAACCCCCGAAGUCGGUGAGGUAACCUUUAGGAGCCAG
This 1449-nucleotide ribosomal RNA is filed under the name Bacillus tequilensis. RNAcentral describes it as "partial 16S ribosomal RNA". It matches the Rfam family "Bacterial small subunit ribosomal RNA". The record is from RNAcentral. Lineage: Bacteria; Bacillati; Bacillota; Bacilli; Caryophanales; Bacillaceae.